RNAcentral lists this long non-coding RNA (388 nucleotides) under Manihot esculenta (cassava). Its description in RNAcentral is "long non-coding RNA (MESC_LNC000053)". Lineage: Eukaryota; Viridiplantae; Streptophyta; Magnoliopsida; Malpighiales; Euphorbiaceae. The record is from RNAcentral.
CUUCACCUAUGCCAAUUUAUAUCUUAGGGAAGGAUUGAAUAAAUUGUAAAUUAAAACUUUAUAAUUCAAAUUCAUGCAUGAAGAAAUGAGAUGAUGCUAUUUCCUACUCAUUUCUAAGCUCACCUUUGAUUUUCAAGCUUGGUGCAUAUGGAACCCUAAACUUUUCUUCUUCAAUUCUUUCACUAUAUGGCUGUUCCUUUAGCUCUUGAUCUUAGGAUGAAUUUUGGUUAAAGGAAGAAGUUGUUUUGGUAAGGUUUUGGCUUGGCUUUGGUGGGAGAAAGAAAAGCAAAUGUUUUUCUUCUUUGAAGUUGGAUGACCUACGGCAACAUGGACAAAGGAAGAAGACAAUCCCUUUUCUUUCUUUUGCAUUGUCAUUUCUUCUCUCCUU